UUGAGGGCUCGCCAGGCUUCGCUCUCUAAAAUUUCGAUGAGUUUUGAAAGUCGCGAUAGAUUUUGUAAAUUUUAAAAAUCGUGAGUCUUGGCGAAUUUGUAAAUCUCUCGAAUCGCAUCGAAGUUAAGAUUCAAGCUCUCGCCGCUACUCUUACCGAGAUACUCACAUUGUACCGUCGAGUGUCUGGUCUAGAAGAAACAAAUAAAGUUUAGUUAGCAGCGUAGCAUAUUAACAACGGCAAAGCCAACCGAGUUUGAUAGUAUUAUUAAAUAGAUUAAUAGAAAGUUAUAUUUUUCAAAUAAUAAACCUGACACUAUACGGGAUUUAUUAUGGGAUUUAUUUAUUUAUUUGUAUCUCACAUUCUGAAAUACCGAUCACGAGAAAAAUCAGUGUGUCUCUUACGUUUUCUACGAUUUGCUACAACAAAUAUGAGAAUUAUAUUCAAUUUAAUCGUCACGUCGCAAACGAUAACGAAUUUGUCACCUUACGGGAUACCGCCACAUGUAAUACUGUAAUAGCACAUUGGACGAGGUACAGAAUGUAUUGUCCUCGCGGCAGCAAGAAAGUAAAGGAUAACUCAAAACUAAUCCGAUACUCACCAUUUAAAAUCCCGCCGCAAAAUGGCCGUUACCAACGUGUUUUAUUUCAUAUUUAUUUACAGCCAGCGACUCUUCUCGAAUAAAAGCCAAUAUGGCAUCAAAGAACCGCGUAAAAUACACUAAAAUAAACGUUAAAUGUUAGACAAAUCUAUGCGUUAAAAAUGCUCAAUUUUACGUAUGCAUAAUUUUUAAAAUGGUAAAUUCAUAAUGUCCAUAGUAUCUUGUUCUACCGGGGUGGAGCCGAAGAAAGGGAUUUUGGAUGUGCACAUUCACUGCGAAGAAACUUCAAUUCCUGAUUCUUUCAUUUAGUAUUUGAAGAGUUUGCGCGUUUAAAAGGACACUUUAAUCCAAUUAACUCCCCUAACAUUUCACCCUAACGAUCGUAGUUUCUCAACGGGUGAAGAAAAUGGUUUAUGUUCGUAUUAAUAUAUUUGAUCAAUCUUAUUUUAAGUACUAAUUUUAUGAAGUAAAGAUAAAUAUAUAUGUAUCAAUUAAAUGAAUGGCAUAAACUAUUUUUUCUAUUCAUUUCAUUCAUUCAUUUGGAAUAUAUAAAUAUUAGAGUAGAGGCCUGGUACAAUAUGCCAGAAAUAAAGAUUUACUAUGUUAUUUAAAUUUAUUGUUCAUAUAAUACAUCACUUUUGUAGCGAAAACAUGGAAUAGUCCCAAAUAUUUAAGGCACGUAGGUGAAUUAUAUUGAAUAU
RNAcentral lists this unclassified non-coding RNA (1300 nucleotides) under Bombus terrestris (buff-tailed bumblebee). RNAcentral describes it as "misc RNA ENSBTSG00005034981.1". The record is from RNAcentral. Lineage: Eukaryota; Metazoa; Arthropoda; Insecta; Hymenoptera; Apidae.